CUUGGCCAAACUAAGCCCUAGACAUAAGUGCUUAUGCAAUAAAAGUUGGCUUAACCUGUAGGUAGUGCCGCAAUCACUGUAGUUGUGUUCUUCGCAAUUUUCUCUGCACAAGAUAUUCAUUCCCCCCAAAACCAACCGUUCAAUUCAGUUCUCCUUUUUCAUCUACCUGUAUUCUCUUCCUUUCUUCCUUCAUUCAUUUCUCUUUCUGAAAUCUUGAUUGGGACUAUCCCUUUGGUUCUUAAUGGGAAAGCCCUCAGGGAAGAAGAAGGGUAUCGCUACUCCGGCUACUGCAAAUUCACAUGCCAAACCUGCCAAGUCCUCCAAGGCUUUCGAUGAAGAUACAGCAAUGUUCAUUAACAUGUCACAAGAGUUCAGAGAAGAAGGUAACAAGUUGUUUCAGAAGAAGGAUCACGAAGGCGCCAUGCUCAAGUACGAGAAGGCACUGAAGCUGCUUCCGAAGAACCACAUAGAUGUCGCACACCUUCAUACCAACAUGGCCACGUGUUACAUGCAAUUGGGUCUCGGGGAAUACCCUCGAGCCAUUCACGAAUGCAAUUUGGCGCUGGAAGUGUCUCCAAGGUACAGCAAAGCUCUUCUGAAAAGAGCCACAUGCUAUCGUGAGCUUAAUCGCUUGGAUUUGGCGCUAAGGGAUGUUAAUCUUGUUUUGAGCAUGGAGCCAAAUAACCUCACCGCUUUGGAGCUUCUCGAGAGUCUCACGAAGUCAACGGAAGAAAAGGGGGUCCCUGUUGAUGAUAAAAGGGUGGCUUUUGAUACCACCGUUUAUCAUUCUCCUUCUCCUUCUUCGCAAAAACUGAAGAAGAAGAGAGGUAAAAAAAUUGAGGACAAGGUGGUUGUGGAGGAAAAGCUGGGUUUGAUUGUUGAGGAUAAAAAGGUGGUUUCCAAACCAAUUGGGCAAGAAGGCAAGGUGGUUUCCAAAACAAUAGGGCAAGAAGGCAAGGUGGUUUCAAAAACAAUUGAGCAAGUAAAAGAGUUGGAUUCAAAAACAAUUGAGCAAGUACAAGAGUUGGAUUCAAAAACAAUUGAGCAAGUAAAAGAGUUAGAUUCAAAAACAACUGAGCAAGAAAAAAAGGUGGUGGAAAUCAAACCUGUGGAGGAAGAAAAAACUGUCACGAUCACAAGGAGCGUGAAGUUGGUGUUUGGAGAAGAUAUAAGGUGGGCUCAGUUACCCGUGAAUUGUAGCGCCAAGUUGGUGAGGGAUAUAGCCAGGAAUCGGUUUCCAGGUUUGAAGGGAGUUCUUGUCAAGUAUAAGGAUAAAGAAGGUGAUUUGGUUACUAUCACUACUACAGAUGAACUAAGGUUAGCUGAAAAGUCUGCUCCUGAGAAGGCAUCGUUUAGGCUUUAUAUUACUGAGGUCAGUCCAGAUCAAGAACCUUCUUAUGAUGGAACAACAACCAAUGGGAAUGAAGUGCAAAGGGAUGGUGAAAAUCAAAAUGAUGGUGUUGAGAAUAGGGGUACGGAAGAAGGCAGAGAUGAAGAUGCUGCAAAGAGGAUGAUUACUGUGGAGGACUGGCUUCUCCAGUUUGCAAGGCUGUUUAAGAACCAUGUAGGGUUUGAGUCUGAUUCUUAUCUAGACACUCAUGAGUUUGCAAUGAAGCUGUACGGAGAAGCGAUGGAAGAUACGGUAGCAAGCAAUGAUGCUCAAGAACUUUUUGGAAUUGCUGCUGAUAAAUUUCAAGAGAUGGCUGCCUUGGCACUGUUUAAUUGGGGAAGUGUUCAGAUGUCCAGGGCAAGGAACCAAGGUUUCUUUUCGGAGGAUGGGGCUAGAGAAUCUUCCUUGGAGCAUAUAAAAGCUGCAUAUGAGUUGGCACGAAAGGAGUACGAGAAAGCAGAAUUGAGAUAUGAAGAAGCCUUGAAAAUCAAACCUGACUUCUACGAAGGAUAUCUUGCUCUUGGGCAUCAGCAGUUUGAGCAAGCAAGGCUGUGCUGGUGUUAUGCAUUGGCAUGCAAGGACUCAAAUGCUGGCUUUUCUGAGGAGGUUCUACAACUUUAUAACAAGGCAGAGGAUAGCAUGGAGAAAGGCAUCUUGAUGUGGGAGGAGGUUGAGGAGCAGCGUCUGAAUGGAAUAUCCAAAUCAGAUAAAUAUAAAGAACAGUUAGAGAAAAUGGGCUUGGAUGAUCUUUUCAAAGAUGUUUCUGAUGAUGAAGCUUCAAAGCAAGCUGCAAAGAUGAGAUCUCAGAUACACCUUCUAUGGGGAACCUUGUUGUAUGAACGUUCUGUUGUGGAAUAUAAGCUUGGCCUUCCCACAUGGGAGGAAUGUUUGGAGGUUGCUGUUGAAAAAUUUGAACUAGCUGGAACUUCUGGAACAGAUAUUGCUUUCAUUGUAAAGAAUCACUGCUCAAAUGAAACAGCGCUUGAAGGGUUCAAAAUUGAAGAGAUAGUACAGGCAUGGAAUGAGAUGUACGAUGCUCAGGGGUGGCAGUUUGGUGAUCCAUCAUUUCGACUUGAACCAUUGUUUCGUCGGCGUGUUCCUAAACUCCAUUCCAUAUUGGAGCAGUUUUAAGUUUUCUUCUUUAGUUAAAAAUUCUUCAGAGGCAUGAUUUCUUUUGUCUUGGUAUUUUUGAAGCUGUCUUCAUCCCCUGCUAAGACGGGGAUUUUUGUUCUGCAUAUUUAGCUCAUGUUCGGUGCUAUGAUUGGAUUAUUUUUUCUGAUGCCAGUGUUAUACUAGUUGGGAUUUGAGACUAGAAAAGCUGGUUAUAUAUAUUUAUUUUGUUUUUAUACUUGAAGAGAUUUGCUGUAGGGUUUCAUUCUUUAAGGUGUACCAGUAUAUUGGAUGAUUUGAUUUGUUCAGCUUGCACCAAAAAUAUAUACACAUACAGAUUUUUUUCAUAGGUAAAGGCUUGUGAUUAAUAUUGUAACGUGUCCUUGGUGAGUGAUUAAGUGGUGGAAUGUAACAAUUUAUGGAUGUCAAGUACCACAUUAUAUUAUUCAUUUUUAUCUUAUUUUUCGUCCAAUUCUA
RNA transcript from Vigna angularis (adzuki bean), 2977 nucleotides. It is a transcript of the gene named protein PHOX1, with no coding region annotated. The record is from RefSeq and is a predicted model, not a curated record. The transcript has 3 exons. Lineage: Eukaryota; Viridiplantae; Streptophyta; Magnoliopsida; Fabales; Fabaceae.